Stereum hirsutum FP-91666 SS1 is the source of this 95-nucleotide non-coding RNA. The record is from Rfam. NCBI's taxonomy places the organism in Eukaryota, Fungi, Basidiomycota, Agaricomycetes, Russulales, Stereaceae.
AGCUCGAUAGCGCAACGGUAGCGCGUCUGUUCCCAAUAGAUCCAGGUCAAAUAUCGGUUGACAGAAAGGUCUCGGUUCAACUCCGAGUCGAGCUA